AUGAAUUAUGAACUAACCCACUUCUUGCAGAACAAAAGGAGUGAAACUGCUAAUUAUGCUGCCUUAAAGCUGGACAUGAGCAAGGUGUACGAUCAAGUCGAAUGGAGUUAUUUAAGAGAUAUGAUGAGGAAAAUGGGAUUUAACACAUGGUGGGUCCGGUUAAUCAUGAACUGUGUUACUACGGUGCGCUAUCAGAUAAAGGUCAACCAUGAUGUAACAAAUGUCAUUACCCCUAGCAGAGGCCUGAGACAAGAAAGGAGCAAACAGAUUCAAGGAAUAAAAGUCUCAAGAAGGGCUCCAAGUGUGAACCAUCUGCUCUUUGCAGAUGAUUCCUUACUACUAAUGAAGGUGGAGGACAGAAGCAUGAAAGAAGUGGAUCAAAUCUUGAAGCAGUAUGCAGAUUGCUCUGGACAAGUAAUUAACAAAGACAAAUCUGCUAGCAUGUUCAGCAAAAAUACUCCUCGGGAGAAGAGACAUGCCACAAUGCAGAUUUUGAACUUGAAUUGUGAAGCCAAAACAGAGAAAUACCUGGGAUUGCCCAUCUAUAUCGGAAAGUCAAAGUCAAAAACAUUUGCAUACCUAAAGGAUAGGAUUUGGAGAAAGAUCCAAGGCUGGAAAGAACGCAUGCUAUCAAUGGCUGGCAAGGAAAUUCUAAUCAAAACGGUGGCACAAUCAGUACCAAUCUAUGCAAUGGCGUGCUUUGAUCUCACCAAAUCUCUAUGUGAUCAAAUGAGCACAAUAAUAUGCAAGUACUGGUGGAGUCAGAUGGACAAAGAAAAUAGAAUCCGCUGGAUCAGUUGGGACAAACUCUCACUUCGGAAGAGGGAUGGUGGAUUGGGCUUCCGAGACUUAUACGCUUUCAACCUGGCAAUGUUGGCUCGCCAAGCUUGGAGGAUAUUGCAUAAUCCAUCCUCUCUAUGUGCCAGAGUGCUCUCAGCGAAAUACUUCCUAGAUGGAAAUAUUCUAAAUGCCAAAGGAGUCUGUGGCAUGUCCUACGUCUGGUGUAGCAUUCUAAAGGGCGUCAAGCUUCUAAAACAGGGUAUAAUAUGGCGAGUGGGGAAUGGAAAUAACAUAGACACCUGGAUUGAUCCUCGGAUCCCAAGAGGCACCACGAGACGCACCAUGACCCACAAAGGUCGACAUCUUGUGAAGAAAGUUUUCGGAGCUGAUGGACCCAAUCAAUGGAGGGUGGGAUGUGGCACUGGUACAAGAAACCUUUUGUCCAGAAGAUGUAGAAGCCAUCUUACAGAUUCCAGUAAAUGGAGAGGAGGAAGACUAUGUGGCCUGGCACUUUGA
RNAcentral lists this ribosomal RNA (1296 nucleotides) under Triticum aestivum (bread wheat). RNAcentral's name for it is "partial small subunit ribosomal RNA". Lineage: Eukaryota; Viridiplantae; Streptophyta; Magnoliopsida; Poales; Poaceae. The record is from RNAcentral.